Molecule: transfer RNA, 74 nt
Filed under: Minicystis rosea
Lineage: Bacteria; Pseudomonadati; Myxococcota; Polyangiales; Polyangiaceae
Description: tRNA-Leu
Rfam family: tRNA
About the family: Transfer RNA (tRNA) molecules are approximately 80 nucleotides in length. Their secondary structure includes four short double-helical elements and three loops (D, anti-codon, and T loops).
Source: RNAcentral
GCCGGUGUAGCCCAAUGGCAGGAGGCAGCCGCCUUAGAAGCGGUAUAGUGUGGGUUCGACUCCCUCCACCGGUA